This 270-nucleotide ribosomal RNA is filed under the name uncultured archaeon. RNAcentral's name for it is "partial 16S ribosomal RNA". It matches the Rfam family "Archaeal small subunit ribosomal RNA", at positions 477 to 747 of the family's 1478-position model. The record is from RNAcentral.
CUGCAGCCCGAGUGGUGAUCGAUUUUAUUGAGCCUAAAGCGUCCGUAGCCGGACUAGUAAACCCUUGGGUAAAUUGGGCAGCUUAACUGUCCAAAUUCCGAGGGGACUGCUAGUCUUGGGAGCGGGAGAGGUCAGAGGUACUCAAGGGGUAGGGGCUAAAUCCUGUAAUCCUUUGGGGACCACCAGUGGCGAAGGCGUCUGACUAGAACGGAUCCGACGGUAAGGGACGAAACCCUGGGGCGCGAACCGGAUUAGAUACCCGAGUAGUCC